UAGAUCUCAAAUCAGAUAGGAUUACCCGCUGAACUUAAGCAUAUCAAUAAGCGGAGGAAAAGAAACUAACAAGGAUUCCCCUAGUAGCGGCGAGCGAAGCGGGAAGAGCUCAAAUUUGUAAUCUGGCGCUUUCAGCGUCCGAGUUGUAAUCUCUAGAAAUGUUUUCCGCGUUGCACCGCACACAAGUCUGUUGGAAUACAGCGGCACAGUGGUGAGACCCCCGUUCAUGGUGCGGAUGCGCAAUGCUUUGUGAUACAUUUUCGAAGAGUCGAGUUGUUUGGGAAUGCAGCUCAAAUUGGGUGGUAAAUUCCAUCUAAAGCUAAAUAUUGGCGAGAGACCGAUAGCGAACAAGUACCGUGAGGGAAAGAUGAAAAGCACUUUGGAAAGAGAGUUAACAGUACGUGAAAUUGUUGGAAGGGAAACGCUUGAAGUCAGACUUGCUGUUCGGAGUUCAGCCGCAAGGUGUACUCUCCGAGUUGCAGGCCAGCAUCAGUUUUUCGGGGUGGAAAAUCACGGUUUGAAGGUAGCAGUUUCGGCUGUGUUAUAGCUUUCCGUUGGAUACAUCCUGGGGGACUGAGGAACGCAGUGUGCUUU
Molecule: ribosomal RNA, 594 nt
Filed under: Rhodosporidiobolus colostri
Lineage: Eukaryota; Fungi; Basidiomycota; Microbotryomycetes; Sporidiobolales; Sporidiobolaceae
Description: LSU rRNA
Rfam family: Eukaryotic large subunit ribosomal RNA
Source: RNAcentral